Molecule: ribosomal RNA, 241 nt
Filed under: Francisella tularensis
Lineage: Bacteria; Pseudomonadati; Pseudomonadota; Gammaproteobacteria; Thiotrichales; Francisellaceae
Description: partial ribosomal RNA
Rfam family: Bacterial small subunit ribosomal RNA
Source: RNAcentral
UUGGGUACUCUAUUGAGACUGCCGCUGACAAGGCGGAGGAAGGUGGGGACGACGUCAAGUCAUCAUGGCCCUUACGACCAGGGCUACACACGUGCUACAAUGGGUAUUACAGAGGGCUGCGAAGGUGCGAGCUGGAGCGAAACUCAAAAAGGUGCUCUUAGUCCGGAUUGCAGUCUGCAACUCGACUGCAUGAAGUCGGAAUCGCUAGUAAUCGCAGGUCAGAAUACUGCGGUGAAUACGU